This 807-nucleotide ribosomal RNA is filed under the name Triticum aestivum (bread wheat). RNAcentral describes it as "partial small subunit ribosomal RNA". The record is from RNAcentral. Lineage: Eukaryota; Viridiplantae; Streptophyta; Magnoliopsida; Poales; Poaceae.
AUGAAAAUGGAUCAGAAGAUGAUCAUCGUGUGCUCCGUCGUCGGCUCUCUCGGGGUGCUCAGUGCCGUCCUGGGGUUCUCAGCCGAGGGCACGAAGCUCACCGUUUCGGACUUGUACGUGGGUGGAGGGCUGUGCCUGUACCCGCAGAACCCCGCGCUCGGGCUGGGGGUGUGCGCGGUCAUCUUCCUGGUGGUAGCCCAGAUCGCCUUCGCGGUCGUCGGCGGCUGCUGCGGCUGCUGCAGGUCCCGCGCCAUCCCCUCCGAGACCAACCGGAUCAUCGGCGUCGUCUGCGCCGUCUUCUCAUGGAUCAUGGCGAUAAUCGCGUUCGCGCUGCUGGUGACGGGCGCGGCGUGGAACACCACCGGGACGCGGGAGCCGUCACCGUUCGGGCUGUGCUACGUCCUCAAGGACGGCAUCUUCGCCGGCGGCGCCGUGCUCACGCUGGUCGCCACGGCCCUCGGGCUCACCUCCUACGUCAUGCUCCGCGGGCAGCCGGCCACUGCCGCCGCCGCGCCCAAGGAAGGCGAGCAGAUGCCGCCGGGCGCCGCCGGGACGACGACGGGGCAGCCGCAGUUCCCGCAGCAGCCUCCCCAGGGGCAGGCGCCACCCAACUACCCGCAGCACUCUCCGCCGCCCCAGGGGCAGGGGUACGGCCAAGCGCCGAACCCUCACUACGCGCCUCCUCCGGCACAAGGACAAGGCUAUGGAGCGCACGCACCCAACCAGCAGCAGCAGCAGCAGCUACCCCCGCCUCCUGGACGAGGCUACGGGCAGUACCCUCCCCCUAAAGGAGACGAACAGGUGUAA